This 268-nucleotide ribosomal RNA is filed under the name uncultured bacterium. RNAcentral describes it as "partial 16S ribosomal RNA". It matches the Rfam family "Bacterial small subunit ribosomal RNA", at positions 355 to 613 of the family's 1533-position model. The record is from RNAcentral.
UAGGGAAUCUUCGGCAAUGGACGAAAGUCUGACCGAGCAACGCCGCGUGAGUGAAGAAGGUUUUCGGAUCGUAAAACUCUGUUGGUAGAGAAGAACGUUGGUGAGAGUGGAAAGCUCAUCAAGUGACGGUAACUACCCAGAAAGGGACGGCUAACUACGUGCCAGCAGCCGCGGUAAUACGUAGGUCCCGAGCGUUGUCCGGAUUUAUUGGGCGUAAAGCGAGCGCAGGUGGUUUAUUAAGUCUGGUGUAAAAGGCCAGUGGCUCAAC